GAUGAACGCUGGCGGCGUGCCUAAUACAUGCAAGUCGAGCGAACAGAUAAGGAGCUUGCUCCUUUGACGUUAGCGGCGGACGGGUGAGUAACACGUGGGUAACCUACCUAUAAGACUGGAAUAACUCCGGGAAACCGGGGCUAAUGCCGGAUAACAUUUAGAACCGCAUGGUUCUAAAGUGAAAGAUGGUUUUGCUAUCACUUAUAGAUGGACCCGCGCUGUAUUAGCUAGUUGGUAAGGUAACGGCUUACCAAGGCAACGAUGCGUAGCCGACCUGAGAGGGUGAUCGGCCACACUGGAACUGAGACACGGUCCAGACUCCUACGGGAGGCAGCAGUAGGGAAUCUUCCGCAAUGGGCGAAAGCCUGACGGAGCAACGCCGCGUGAGUGAUGAAGGUCUUCGGAUCGUAAAACUCUGUUAUUAGGGAAGAACAAAUGUGUAAGUAACUGUGCACGUCUUGACGGUACCUAAUCAGAAAGCCACGGCUAACUACGUG
RNAcentral lists this ribosomal RNA (497 nucleotides) under uncultured bacterium. RNAcentral's name for it is "partial 16S ribosomal RNA". It matches the Rfam family "Bacterial small subunit ribosomal RNA", at positions 28 to 507 of the family's 1533-position model. The record is from RNAcentral.